GUGCCUGCUUCAGCAGCACAUAUACUAAAAUUGGAACGAUACAGAAAAGAUUAGCAUGGUCCCUGCACAAGGAUGACAUGCAAAUUCGUGAAGCGUUCCAUAUUUUU
RNAcentral lists this small nuclear RNA (107 nucleotides) under Tursiops truncatus (common bottlenose dolphin). Lineage: Eukaryota; Metazoa; Chordata; Mammalia; Artiodactyla; Delphinidae. The record is from RNAcentral.